GGGAUGAACAUUAUAUAAACGGCCUUUUACUUCACAACUCAGUCAAUUAAAUACACUCAACGGGCAACACAAAAUAUCAUUACUCUGUCGAAACCUAGUGCUGAAGAUGGCAAAUUGCAAACAGUCUGGCGUGCGUGUACAUUUUCUAUUGUAUGUAACAGUGUUUUACGUAAUAGUGCCCAUCGUAGCUAUGUCGAGUACGUCGACACCCGUCGAAACAAGUACCACACUUGUGUCAACCGAGGGAGCAACUACCGAUUCAGUGUCAACCGAGGGAGCAACUACCGAUUCAGUGUCAACCGAGGGAGCAACUACCGAUUCAGUGUCAACCGAGGGAGCAACUACCGAUUCAGUGUCAACCGAGGGAGCAACUACCGAUUCAGAGUCAUCCGACGUAACAAAUACCAUUCCAACGUCAACUGUAAUUACUGAUAAGUCAACGCGUACGACGACCGAUUCAACGAACACCACUUUAUCAUUUGAUAGUGGUGCUUCGAAAUGCGAGGGAGGGCUACCCGUCAACAGCAUCAUCAUUUCAGUCCUCGCUUUACUUUAUAUUGGAUAGAUCCAAUAAAUACCUACAAUGGGAUAAUGUUAGUACAGAUUCAGGAAGAAUACAUUACAAAUCGAAAUAUUAUGAAGAAUAGUUUUUGAUAACCUACCCGUUGAUUUUUGUGUUUACAAGGUUAAUGACAUGCUAUUCUGAUAACAAUGUGAUUAGCAAGGUAUCCGUGGUUCGUACUGACGUCUACAACAAGUACAUUCUCAUUCAUGAAUAAUCAAUGACUGUGAUAUGCACGUGUGUUUCGUGAACUGAUGUGUAUUUAUGUCCGUUCCGUCAAUGUCUUAUGCACUUUUCUGUUUUAUAUGCAAACAUGCGUGAUACUUAUGUUGAAGUUAUUUUCUUAAGGAGGUCACAAUCGGGGAAAUAUGAGACAAAAUGUGUAUAUUAUACUGUCCUGUUAUAUGUCAUAUUAUAUUUUAUAUUUUUUUGUUUCAAACAACAAUGCUGAAGCAGUUAUGAGUAUAUUGUUCAAGCCUAUGACUCGUGUGUACACACCAGAUUGAUGAUGUACACGUUAGCUCUACUCAUAUAUGUUAUGUCAU
Long non-coding RNA from Mizuhopecten yessoensis (Yesso scallop), 1107 nucleotides. RefSeq lists it as uncharacterized. NCBI's taxonomy places the organism in Eukaryota, Metazoa, Mollusca, Bivalvia, Pectinida, Pectinidae. The transcript has 3 exons. The record is from RefSeq and is a predicted model, not a curated record.